Molecule: ribosomal RNA, 411 nt
Filed under: uncultured bacterium
Lineage: Bacteria
Description: bacterial SSU rRNA
Rfam family: Bacterial small subunit ribosomal RNA
Source: RNAcentral
GUCGAGCGCGAACACCUCCUUCGGGGGGUUAGUAGAGCGGCGCACGGGUGAGUAACACGUGAGUAACCUACCCCCGGAUUUGGAAUAACCUUGGGAAACUGAGGCUAAUGCCAAAUAAGCCCACGGCCUCUAUGAGAGAGUGGGAAAAGAGGGCUUCGGCUCUCGUCCAGGGAUGGGCUCGCGGCCCAUUAGCUAGUUGGUGAGGUAACGGCCCACCAAGGCUUUGAUGGGUAGCUGGUCUGAGAGGAUGAUCAGCCACACUGGGACUGAGACACGGCCCAGACUCCUACGGGAGGCAGCAGUGGGGAAUCUUGCGCAAUGGGCGAAAGCCUGACGCAGCAACGCCGCGUGGGUGACGAAGGCUCUUGGGUCGUAAAGCCCUGUCAGGGGGGAAGAAUGUCCAUGUGGUUA